GCAGUGGGGAAUAUUGCACAAUGGGCGGGAGCCUGAUGCAGCGACGCCGCGUGGAGGAAGAAGGCCUUCGGGUUGUAAACUUCUUUUAUAGGGGAAAAUAGUGAUGGUACCUUAUGAAUAAGCCACGGCUAACUCUGUGCCAGCAGCCGCGGUAAUACGUAGGGUGCAAGCGUUAAUCGGAAUUACUGGGCGUAAAGCGUGCGCAGGCGGUUUUGUAAGACAGAGGUGAAAUCCCCGGGCUUAACCUGGGAACUGCCUUUGUGACUGCAAAGCUCGAAUGCGGCAGGGGGGGAUGGAAUUCCGCGUGUAGCAGUGAAAUGCGUAGAUAUGCGGAGGAACACCGAUGGCGAAGGCAAUCCCCUGGGCCUGCACUGACGCUCAUGCACGAAAGUGUGGGGAGCAAACAGGAUUAGAUACCCCGGUAGUCC
This 428-nucleotide ribosomal RNA is filed under the name uncultured beta proteobacterium. Its description in RNAcentral is "partial 16S ribosomal RNA". It matches the Rfam family "Bacterial small subunit ribosomal RNA", at positions 351 to 796 of the family's 1533-position model. The record is from RNAcentral. Lineage: Bacteria; Pseudomonadati; Pseudomonadota; Betaproteobacteria.